Molecule: ribosomal RNA, 440 nt
Filed under: uncultured bacterium
Lineage: Bacteria
Description: partial 16S ribosomal RNA
Rfam family: Bacterial small subunit ribosomal RNA
Source: RNAcentral
CCUACGGGAGGCAGCAGUGGGGAAUAUUGCACAAUGGGGGAAACCCUGAUGCAGCGACGCCGCGUGAGUGAAGAAGUAAUUCGUUAUGUAAAGCUCUAUUAGCAGGGAAGAAAAUGACGGUACCUGAGUAAGAAGCCCCGGCUAACUACGUGCCAGCAGCCGCGGUAAUAAGUAGGGGGCAAGCGUUAUCCGGAUUUACUGGGUGUAAAGGGAGCGUAGACGGCAGUGCAAGUCUGGAGUGAAAGGCGGGGGCUCAACCCCCGGACUGCUCUGGAAACUGUACGGCUGGAGUGCAGGAGAGGUAAGUGGAAUUCCUAGUGUAGCGGUGAAAUGCGUAGAUAUUAGGAGGAACACCAGUGGCGAAGGCGGCUUACUGGACUGUAACUGACGUUGAGGCUCGAAAGCGUGGGGAGCAAACAGGAUUAGAUACCCCUGUAGUC